AACUUUCAACAACGGAUCUCUUGGCUCUCGCAUCGAUGAAGAACGCAGCGAAAUGCGAUAAGUAAUGUGAAUUGCAGAAUUCAGUGAAUCAUCGAAUCUUUGAACGCAUAUUGCGCCCUUUGGUAUUCCUUAGGGCAUGCCUGUUCGAGCGUCACUAACAACCAAUCACCUUAUGCGUGGUAUUGGCAGAUGUGAGUUGAGUACAAAGCUUAGCAGUGAUACUCUCCCACACUGUUGGAAUGAAUAGGCUAGAAAAGUAGAUCAUAGCAACAGACUUUCAGAGUAUUUUGAAAUGCUAAAUUAGUUUGAAGCUGGUCAGAAUCUAGGCCAUUUGACCCCCAUUCUGUGUACAGCAGUAAGGUUGACCUCGGAUCAGGUAGGGAUACCCGCUGAACU
RNAcentral lists this ribosomal RNA (396 nucleotides) under uncultured fungus. Its description in RNAcentral is "eukaryotic LSU rRNA". The stretch from base 1 to 154 matches the Rfam family "5.8S ribosomal RNA". Lineage: Eukaryota; Fungi. The record is from RNAcentral.